RNAcentral lists this ribosomal RNA (696 nucleotides) under uncultured bacterium. RNAcentral's name for it is "bacterial SSU rRNA". It matches the Rfam family "Bacterial small subunit ribosomal RNA", at positions 230 to 917 of the family's 1533-position model. The record is from RNAcentral.
UCCGCGCUGCAUUAGCUAGUUGGUAAGGUAACGGCUUACCAAGGCAACGAUGCAUAGCCGACCUGAGAGGGUGAUCGGCCACACUGGAACUGAGACACGGUCCAGACUCCUACGGGAGGCAGCAGUAGGGAAUCUUCCGCAAUGGGCGAAAGCCUGACGGAGCAACGCCGCGUGAGUGAUGAAGGUCUUCGGAUCGUAAAACUCUGUUAUUAGGGAAGAACAUAUGUGUAAGUAACUGUGCACAUCUUGACGGUACCUAAUCAGAAAGCCACGGCUAACUACGUGCCAGCAGCCGCGGUAAUACGUAGGUGGCAAGCGUUAUCCGGAAUUAUUGGGCGUAAAGCGCGCGUAGGCGGUUUUUUAAGUCUGAUGUGAAAGCCCACGGCUCAACCGUGGAGGGUCAUUGGAAACUGGAAAACUUGAGUGCAGAAGAGGAAAGUGGAAUUCCAUGUGUAGCGGUGAAAUGCGCAGAGAUAUGGAGGAACACCAGUGGCGAAGGCGACUUUCUGGUCUGUAACUGACGCUGAUGUGCGAAAGCGUGGGGAUCAAACAGGAUUAGAUACCCUGGUAGUCCACGCCGUAAACGAUGAGUGCUAAGUGUUAGGGGGUUUCCGCCCCUUAGUGCUGCAGCUAACGCAUUAAGCACUCCGCCUGGGGAGUACGACCGCAAGGUUGAAACUCAAAGGAAUUGACGGC